UUAUGUCGGACUCCGGCGCCUCCUGAAUU
RNAcentral lists this small RNA (29 nucleotides) under Bombyx mori (domestic silkworm). RNAcentral describes it as "ovarian small RNA-9467". Lineage: Eukaryota; Metazoa; Arthropoda; Insecta; Lepidoptera; Bombycidae. The record is from RNAcentral.